CUUUCGUACUCGUCGAUGCAUCNAGAUUANAGUUUGAUCAUGGCUCAGAGUGAACGCUGGCGGUAGGCCUAACACAUGCAAGUCGAACGGCAGCACAGGAGAGCUUGCUCUCUGGGUGGCGAGUGGCGGACGGGUGAGGAAUACAUCGGAAUCUACUCUGUCGUGGGGGAUAACGUACGGGAAACUUACGCUAAUACCGCAUACGACCUACGGGUGAAAGCAGGGGGAUCUUCGGACCUUGCGCGAUUGAAUGAGCCGAUGUCGGAUUAGCUAGUUGGCGGGGUAAAGGCCCACCAAGGCGACGAUCCGUAGCUGGUCUGAGAGGAUGAUCAGCCACACUGGAACUGAGACACGGUCCAGACUCCUACGGGAGGCAGCAGUGGGGAAUAUUGGACAAUGGGCGCAGGCCUGAUCCAGCCAUACCGCGUGGGUAGAAGAAGGCCUUCGGGUUGUAAAGCCCUUUUGUUGGGAAAGAAAUCCAGCUGGCUAAUACCUGGUUGGGAUGACGGUACCCAAAGAAUAAGCACCGGCUAACUUCGUGCCACACC
Molecule: ribosomal RNA, 548 nt
Filed under: uncultured bacterium
Lineage: Bacteria
Description: bacterial SSU rRNA
Rfam family: Bacterial small subunit ribosomal RNA
Source: RNAcentral